Molecule: unclassified non-coding RNA, 334 nt
Filed under: soil metagenome
Description: partial contains 5.8S ribosomal RNA, internal transcribed spacer 2, and large subunit ribosomal RNA
Rfam family: 5.8S ribosomal RNA (bases 1-120)
Source: RNAcentral
GAUGAAGAACGUAGCGAAAUGCGAUAAGUAGUGUGAAUUGCAGAAUUCAGUGAAUCAUCGAAUCUUUGAACGCACAUUGCGCCCCUUGGUAUUCCAUGGGGCAUGCCUGUUCGAGCGUCAUUUGUACCUUCAAGCUCUGCUUGGUGUUGGGUGAUUGUCUAUCUUUAUAGACUCGCCUUAAAGUCAUUGGCAGCCGGCAUAUUGGCCUGGGAGCGCAGCACAAGUCGCGCUUCUUGUCAUGAAUGUUGGCGUCCAGUAAGUCUACAUAUUUUGCUCUUGACCUCGGAUCAGGUAGGGAUACCCGCUGAACUUAAGCAUAUCAAUAAGCGGAUGA